GACGAACGCUGGCGGCGUGCUUAACACAUGCAAGUCGAACGAUGAUGCCAGCUUGCUGGUGGAUUAGUGGCGAACGGGUGAGUAACACGUGAGCAACCUGCCCCUGACUUCGGGAUAACCGCGGGAAACCGUGGCUAAUACCGGAUAUGACGCGCUAUCGCAUGGUGGUGUGUGGAAAGAUUUAUCGGUUGGGGAUGGGCUCGCGGCCUAUCAGCUUGUUGGUGGGGUGAUGGCCUACCAAGGCGACGACGGGUAGCCGGCCUGAGAGGGUGGCCGGCCACACUGGGACUGAGACACGGCCCAGACUCCUACGGGAGGCAGCAGUGGGGAAUAUUGCACAAUGGGCGCAAGCCUGAUGCAGCGACGCCGCGUGAGGGAUGACGGCCUUCGGGUUGUAAACCUCUUUCAGUAGGGAAGAAGGCCUUCGGGUUGACGGUACCUGCAGAAGAAGCGCCGGCUAACUACGUG
RNAcentral lists this ribosomal RNA (468 nucleotides) under uncultured bacterium. RNAcentral describes it as "partial 16S ribosomal RNA". It matches the Rfam family "Bacterial small subunit ribosomal RNA", at positions 28 to 507 of the family's 1533-position model. The record is from RNAcentral.